This is a small nucleolar RNA of Oryzias sinensis (Chinese medaka), 207 nucleotides long. Lineage: Eukaryota; Metazoa; Chordata; Actinopteri; Beloniformes; Adrianichthyidae. The record is from Ensembl.
AAGACUCUACUUUCAGGGAUCAUUUCUUUAGUUUGGAACUAGAGGAUUGUGUUUCUACAGAGGUUGGUCUUGCUGUCCAUGAUGAUGAAUGAAGAUGUUCCCUUCAGAGCAGGAAGCUGGUGAGAAGAUGAGAAUCUUCUUCACUGAUGAAGACUGUUCAGUGUUUCUGGAUGUGACACUGAAGGAGGAAACGUUGUCUGAGUGGAC